AACGAACGCUGGCGGCGCGCCUAAUACAUGCAAGUCGAGCGAGAAGACGUAGCAAUACGUUUGUAAAGCGGCGAACGGGUGAGGAAUACAUGGGUAACCUACCCUCGAGUGGGGAAUAACUAGCCGAAAGGUUAGCUAAUACCGCGUACGCUCCUUGGACUUCGGUUCAGGGAGGAAAGCGAUACCGUGGGUAUCGCGCUCUUGGAUGGGCUCAUGUCCUAUCAGCUUGUUGGUGAGGAACGGCUCACCAAGGCUUCGACGGGUAGCUGGUCUGAGAGGACGAUCAGCCACACUGGCACUGCGACACGGGCCAGACUCCUACGGGAGGCAGCAGUAAGGAAUAUUGCGCAAUGGGCGAAAGCCUGACGCAGCGACGCCGCGUGGGGGAUGAAGGUCUUCGGAUUGUAAACCCCUUUCGGGAGGGAAGGUGGAACGAGCAAUCGUUCGG
Molecule: ribosomal RNA, 448 nt
Filed under: uncultured bacterium
Lineage: Bacteria
Description: bacterial SSU rRNA
Rfam family: Bacterial small subunit ribosomal RNA
Source: RNAcentral